Molecule: long non-coding RNA, 629 nt
Filed under: Linum usitatissimum (flax)
Lineage: Eukaryota; Viridiplantae; Streptophyta; Magnoliopsida; Malpighiales; Linaceae
Description: long non-coding RNA (LUSI_LNC006113)
Source: RNAcentral
AUCUUCCAGCCGAUUCACAAAAUCGUCGAGCUUGGACAGCUUCUGAUUCGAGUCUUUGAGCUUGGAGACCUCUUUCAGACACUGGUCAACUGUUUUCGGUACAAAGACCGGACCCAAAUCCAAGCUCAGCUCCAUUGCUCUGCUUUUUUUCUUUGGGUUUUCUGAUCUUCUUCUCUUUUCUGUCAAAUUGAAUUCCAAGGCGAUGAAGAAGAAGAAAGCUAAGGUCUUUAUAUGGAAGGAAGGAAAGGGGUGAGAAAGUGAAGGUGAGAGAUUCAGAGUAGAUGAAAAGAUUCGGGCUAAUCGGCUACGAGUCACCGCGUAUCUGAGUCGACUCGGGAGUGAGUCAGUAGGUGGCCGAGUUGGGUAGUUGGAUUUUGUUUAUUUUUUAAUUUGUUUUUGCUGUUUUUGGAAAUUUGGAAUCUUUUGUUUUUAUGGAGGGUUGUGAAUUCCCAUACGUAUGCGGCGAAUUGUGUGGUCUUUAGAAGUAGGGAUUUAUUUCCUUUUAAUGUGAAAGAUUAAUUGGAUUUAUUUUUCAAACAAAAAAAUUUAUGGUUAUCGGGUCGAAUCUAAAUGAUGUUUAUCACUCCCGUAAUAUGUAAUUUAGGCGGAUUUAUCAAUGUUGUAUUCAU